Molecule: ribosomal RNA, 1543 nt
Filed under: Escherichia coli
Lineage: Bacteria; Pseudomonadati; Pseudomonadota; Gammaproteobacteria; Enterobacterales; Enterobacteriaceae
Description: bacterial SSU rRNA
Rfam family: Bacterial small subunit ribosomal RNA
Source: RNAcentral
AAAUUGAAGAGUUUGAUCAUGGCUCAGAUUGAACGCUGGCGGCAGGCCUAACACAUGCAAGUCGAACGGUAACAGAAAGCAGCUUGCUGCUUUGCUGACGAGUGGCGGACGGGUGAGUAAUGUCUGGGAAACUGCCUGAUGGAGGGGGAUAACUACUGGAAACGGUAGCUAAUACCGCAUAACGUCGCAAGACCAAAGAGGGGGACCUUCGGGCCUCUUGCCAUCGGAUGUGCCCAGAUGGGAUUAGCUUGUUGGUGGGGUAACGGCUCACCAAGGCGACGAUCCCUAGCUGGUCUGAGAGGAUGACCAGCCACACUGGAACUGAGACACGGUCCAGACUCCUACGGGAGGCAGCAGUGGGGAAUAUUGCACAAUGGGCGCAAGCCUGAUGCAGCCAUGCCGCGUGUAUGAAGAAGGCCUUCGGGUUGUAAAGUACUUUCAGCGGGGAGGAAGGGAGUAAAGUUAAUACCUUUGCUCAUUGACGUUACCCGCAGAAGAAGCACCGGCUAACUCCGUGCCAGCAGCCGCGGUAAUACGGAGGGUGCAAGCGUUAAUCGGAAUUACUGGGCGUAAAGCGCACGCAGGCGGUUUGUUAAGUCAGAUGUGAAAUCCCCGGGCUCAACCUGGGAACUGCAUCUGAUACUGGCAAGCUUGAGUCUCGUAGAGGGGGGGUAGAAUUCCAGGUGUAGCGGUGAAAUGCGUAGAGAUCUGGAGGAAUACCGGUGGCGAAGGCGGCCCCCUGGACGAAGACUGACGCUCAGGUGCGAAAGCGUGGGGAGCAAACAGGAUUAGAUACCCUGGUAGUCCACGCCGUAAACGAUGUCGACUUGGAGGUUGUGCCCUUGAGGCGUGGCUUCCGGAGCUAACGCGUUAAGUCGACCGCCUGGGGAGUACGGCCGCAAGGUUAAAACUCAAAUGAAUUGACGGGGGCCCGCACAAGCGGUGGAGCAUGUGGUUUAAUUCGAUGCAACGCGAAGAACCUUACCUGGUCUUGACAUCCACGGAAGUUUUCAGAGAUGAGAAUGUGCCUUCGGGAACCGUGAGACAGGUGCUGCAUGGCUGUCGUCAGCUCGUGUUGUGAAAUGUUGGGUUAAGUCCCGCAACGAGCGCAACCCUUAUCCUUUGUUGCCAGCGGUCCGGCCGGGAACUCAAAGGAGACUGCCAGUGAUAAACUGGAGGAAGGUGGGGAUGACGUCAAGUCAUCAUGGCCCUUACGACCAGGGCUACACACGUGCUACAAUGGCGCAUACAAAGAGAAGCGACCUCGCGAGAGCAAGCGGACCUCAUAAAGUGCGUCGUAGUCCGGAUUGGAGUCUGCAACUCGACUCCAUGAAGUCGGAAUCGCUAGUAAUCGUGGAUCAGAAUGCCACGGUGAAUACGUUCCCGGGCCUUGUACACACCGCCCGUCACACCAUGGGAGUGGGUUGCAAAAGAAGUAGGUAGCUUAACCUUCGGGAGGGCGCUUACCACUUUGUGAUUCAUGACUGGGGUGAAGUCGUAACAAGGUAACCGUAGGGGAACCUGCGGUUGGAUCACCUCCUUA